Molecule: ribosomal RNA, 388 nt
Filed under: uncultured bacterium
Lineage: Bacteria
Description: bacterial SSU rRNA
Rfam family: Bacterial small subunit ribosomal RNA
Source: RNAcentral
GACGAACGCUGGCGGCGUGCUUAACACAUGCAAGUCGAACGCUGAACCCGCUUCGGUGGGGGAUGAGUGGCGAACGGGUGAGUAACACGUGGGCAACCUGCCCCCGGCUCUGGGAUAACUCCAAGAAAUUGGGGCUAAUACCGGAUAUCCACGGCUGGCCGCAUGGUCUGGUGGUGGAAAGGGUUUCCGGCUGGGGAUGGGCCCGCGGCCUAUCAGCUUGUUGGUGGGGUAGUGGCCUACCAAGGCGACGACGGGUAGCCGGCCUGAGAGGGUGACCGGCCACACUGGGACUGAGACACGGCCCAGACUCCUACGGGAGGCAGCAGUGGGGAAUAUUGCGCAAUGGGCGGAAGCCUGACGCAACGGCGCCGCGUGGGGGAUGACGGCC